GACGAACGCUGGCGGCGUGCCUAAUACAUGCAAGUAGAACGCUGAAGGAGGAGCUUGCUUCUCCGGAUGAGUUGCGAACGGGUGAGUAACGCGUAGGUAACCUGCCUGGUAGCGGGGGAUAACUAUUGGAAACGAUAGCUAAUACCGCAUAACAGUAGAUGUUGCAUGACAUUUGCUUAAAAGGUGCAAUUGCAUCACUACCAGAUGGACCUGCGUUGUAUUAGCUAGUCGGUGAGGUAACGGCUCACCAAGGCGACGAUACAUAGCCGACCUGAGAGGGUGAUCGGCCACACUGGGACUGAGACACGGCCCAGACUCCUACGGGAGGCAGCAGUAGGGAAUCUUCGGCAAUGGACGGAAGUCUGACCGAGCAACGCCGCGUGAGUGAAGAAGGUUGUCGGAUCGUAAAGCUCUGUUGUAAGAGAAGAACGAGUGUGAGAGUGGAAAGUUCACACUGUGACGGUAUCUUACCAGAAAGGGACGGCUAACUACGUG
Molecule: ribosomal RNA, 495 nt
Filed under: uncultured bacterium
Lineage: Bacteria
Description: partial 16S ribosomal RNA
Rfam family: Bacterial small subunit ribosomal RNA
Source: RNAcentral